UAGCUCAGUUGGUAGAGCAUGGUGUUUGCAACGCGUGGUGUUUGCAACGCCAGGGUUGUGGGUUCGAUUCCCAC
Salmo salar (Atlantic salmon) is the source of this 74-nucleotide non-coding RNA. Lineage: Eukaryota; Metazoa; Chordata; Actinopteri; Salmoniformes; Salmonidae. The record is from Rfam.